GAAUAUUGGACAAUGGGCGAAAGCCUGAUCCAGCAAUGCCGCGUGAGUGAUGAAGGCCUUAGGGUUGUAAAGCUCUUUUACCCGGGAUGAUAAUGACAGUACCGGGAGAAUAAGCCCCUGCUCACUCCGUUCCAGCAGCCGCGGUAAUACGGAGGGGGCUAGCGUUGUUCGGAAUUACUGGGCGUAAAGCGCGCGUAGGCGGCUUUGGAAGUUAGAGGUGAAAGCCCGGGGCUCAACCCCGGAAUUGCCUUUAAGACUGCAUCGGUAGAACGUUGGAGAGGUAAGUGGAAUUCCGAGUGUAGAGGUGAAAUUCGUAGAUAUUCGGAAGAACACCAGUGGCGAAGGCGACUUACUGGACAACUGUUGACGCUGAGGUGCGAAAGCGUGGGGAGCAAACAGG
RNAcentral lists this ribosomal RNA (400 nucleotides) under uncultured bacterium. RNAcentral describes it as "bacterial SSU rRNA". It matches the Rfam family "Bacterial small subunit ribosomal RNA", at positions 359 to 776 of the family's 1533-position model. The record is from RNAcentral.